AGAAUCAACGCUGGCGGCGUGCCUAACACAUGCAAGUCGAACGAGAAAGUGGAGCAAUCCAUGAGUAAAGUGGCGCACGGGUGAGUAACACGUGACUAACCUACCCUUGAGUGGGGGAUAAACCUAGAGAAAUCUGGGCUAAUACCGCAUAAUACCUUCGGGUCAAAGGAGCAAUUCGCUUAAGGAGGGGGUCGCGGCCGAUUAGUUAGUUGGCGGGGUAAUGGCCCACCAAGACUGUGAUCGGUAUCCGGCCUGAGAGGGCGCACGGACACACCUGGAACUGAAACACGGUCCAGACUCCUACGGGAGGCAGCAGUGGGAAUUUUGCGCAAUGGGGGAAACCCUGACGCAGCAACGCCGCGUGGAGGAUGAAGCCCCUUGGGGCGUAAACUCCUUUCGAUCGGGAAGAUAAUGACGGUACCGAGAGAAGAACGCCCGGACUAACUCGUGCCAGCAGCCGC
Molecule: ribosomal RNA, 461 nt
Filed under: uncultured bacterium
Lineage: Bacteria
Description: SSU rRNA
Rfam family: Bacterial small subunit ribosomal RNA
Source: RNAcentral